This 493-nucleotide ribosomal RNA is filed under the name uncultured bacterium. RNAcentral's name for it is "partial 16S ribosomal RNA". It matches the Rfam family "Bacterial small subunit ribosomal RNA", at positions 29 to 508 of the family's 1533-position model. The record is from RNAcentral.
AGUGAACGCUGGCGGUAGGCCUAACACAUGCAAGUCGAACGGCAGCACAGUAAGAGCUUGCUCUUACGGGUGGCGAGUGGCGGACGGGUGAGGAAUACAUCGGAAUCUACUUUUUCGUGGGGGAUAACGUAGGGAAACUUACGCUAAUACCGCAUACGACCUACGGGUGAAAGCAGGGGAUCUUCGGACCUUGCGCGAUUGAAUGAGCCGAUGUCGGAUUAGCUAGUUGGCGGGGUAAAGGCCCACCAAGGCGACGAUCCGUAGCUGGUCUGAGAGGAUGAUCAGCCACACUGGAACUGAGACACGGUCCAGACUCCUAUGGGAGGCAGCAGUGGGGAAUAUUGGACAAUGGGCGCAAGCCUGAUCCAGCCAUACCGCGUGGGUGAAGAAGGCCUUCGGGUUGUAAAGCCCUUUUGUUGGGAAAGAAAAGCAGCAGGUUAAUACCCCGCUGUUCUGACGGUACCCAAAGAAUAAGCACCGGCUAACUUCGUGC